UCUCAAUGUGUUUACUUACACCCUUUACAUCCAUGUCUACUUUACUGUCUGUGUGGAGCUAAUUGUUUAAUUAACAUGUUCAUUCUUUUUCACCUGUUUCUGUUGUGAAUCCCUAUACCCAUGUUUCCCUCUAUGUGCUUUGAGUUGUAGUUCAGGAUGUAGCAAUAUGCAAGUUAUUGUUUGUGUUUGGACUUGAUCCCUUAGGGGAUUCUGACUCCCAAAACAAUGUGUUUUAAUAGGCUUGUGGGAUGCGCCAGCAUUUUUAUUGCUACUUAUGCCCACUAGCCUAUCUUUGCUUCUUUAUCACUUCCCCUUUCCUUUUUUACAGCUCUGCACUUACACUUUCUCCUAGUUUCUAAGUCCCCCCCCUCUUGUGAGCCUUGCCUUGAGACCUUGAGUUUCCUCUAAACUUGGACACUUGAGGGCUGGUCUGUUCCACACUCCACUAUGUUUUGAACCUAUACUGCAUUUGGGUGUGAGCACUACCUGGUGUCCAUGUGAGGCUCUUAGGGAACUCUGACACAUUCAAAUAAUCGAAAGACUUUGGAAUAUUGAUCUUUGGAUUUGGUUUACUUCAUAAAUCAGACAGGAAGUCUGAAUUAGGCUUUCCUUGGUUGUAACUUUUAGCUUCUGAGUGUAUUUUGUACUUUUCUUUCUUUCUAGGUUGUAAUAACUAUGUAAUAAAGAAUUCUCGGGGAUGGCUAGUAAAAAGGGAAUGGAGUAGCCGUAUACAAAAAGGGGUAGAUUAUUUGCCAAUAGGAUUAUUAAUUUCUACAUUCACAUAGAUAACUUGCCUAUAGGUUUAUGAAUUCCGGCAUCCACGUAGAUAUCCCGCUGAUAGGUUUUCUUAUAGAAUUCUGCACUUGCAUAUAAACACCAUGACUACAAGAACUCCUGCAUUCAUAUAAAUACCAUGUCUGUAA
This 923-nucleotide long non-coding RNA is filed under the name Nicotiana benthamiana. RNAcentral describes it as "long non-coding RNA (NBEN_LNC037392)". Lineage: Eukaryota; Viridiplantae; Streptophyta; Magnoliopsida; Solanales; Solanaceae. The record is from RNAcentral.